AUGAGUCUCGUCAAGUCCAGGGGUGACCUCAAGGCCCCGGGGGAGUCCCUGCAGCUCCUCUACCGCGGCUCCGGCUUCACCUUCAGCAACCACGGGAUGCAGUGGGUGCGCCAGAGCCCCGGGAAGGGACUGGAAUUUGUUGCUGGGAUCAACAAUGCUGGUGGCACCUACUACGCGCCGUCGGUGAAGGGCCGGUUCACCAUCGCCAGGGACAACGGGCAGAGCUCGGUGACGCUGCAGAUGAACAACCUCAGGGAGGAGGAUUCCAACACCUAUUUCUGCGCCAAACGUGACGGUGCUGGUGGUGGUGAUGUUUAUGGUAUCGACCCCCUUGGUGUCCCAAAGCCCAGACCCUCCCCCAGACCUCCACCCUUCACACCCAGCUCUCAGUCGUUGGUCCCGACCUUGGGCUGGUUUUGCCCCAAAUCUCAACCGUUGACCCCAAACCCCAACUCUUUGCCCCAAAUCCCAGUGAUUUGUGCCCCUGAGCUCAACUUGGUCCCUCAAAGCUCAACCGUUGAUCCCAAAUCUCAACAGUUGACUCAAAUUUUGACCACGGACCCCAAAUCUCAAGCAUUGAACCUAAAUGUCAACCAUUGA
Molecule: non-coding RNA, 600 nt
Organism: Pseudopipra pipra
Lineage: Eukaryota; Metazoa; Chordata; Aves; Passeriformes; Pipridae
Source: the annotation of a RefSeq genome assembly